Molecule: long non-coding RNA, 402 nt
Filed under: Marmota monax (woodchuck)
Lineage: Eukaryota; Metazoa; Chordata; Mammalia; Rodentia; Sciuridae
Source: RNAcentral
GUAAAGUUCACCUCCACGGUUUAUUGGUUACAUUUGAUUUUGGAGUAUGGGAGCUGUGUUUUCUAUGUUUGGGGUUAGGAAGAGAGUAUAAAGAGAAUUCUUGUCCAAUUUCACUCAAAGGUCAUUUAAUGAGAAAGGGAUGACUUUUAAACCAUUAUCCAAACUAAAAUUCUCAUUGGCAGCAAGCUGUACAACAGCAGGAAGGGGGCAGGGCUAGGGAACGGGACAUGAGGUUUCUAUCUUUGCCUGUGUAAUUUUAACAUAUUGAAGAUUCUGAAAACUUAUCUCUUUUGGAGAAAAAUAUCCCCCUUAAUGUUGGCCUUCUGUAAGCAGAAUAAUAAGUGCAAUAGUUGUAAAUCUACUUGACACUAUAAUAAACCGAACUGAACCUUUCCAAAAAAA